AUGGGGGCAGGGAGGAGCAUCGUGGCCGGAGGGAGCGCUGGAUCUGAUAGCUACGGGGAGCUGUUGGGGUCAACGACUCAGUUUGUUUGGCUGAGGCGCUCUUGUGUGGAUAAAGAUGAGGAUGGAGAAAGCGGUGUGGGGUCCCGCUGGGACACGUGUCACGCGUCAGAGGAGGGAAAAACGGUUUGGAAUUGGCAAUCUGGAAUUGCCAGGCCAAAUUUUGUUGUCUGGGGGUGGUACAGGAUUUGGGCUUGGAAAAGUUGGCCCAAUUCCAAGCGAUCUCGCGCAAGGUUUCCGGAAAGGCUCGGAAACGCCCAGCAGCCCCCACCCCGCAUACCUCGCUCGUUCGCUGGACGACCUGCUCUCGCUCCCGACUCCCCUGAAUCAACCGCCGGCGGCGGCGGUCAGUUCUCCGGCCCUCCUCUCCCUCUCCCAUCCGUCCCCUCCCUCCUCUCCCUCCGAUCCGUCCCCUCAUCCUCUUCCACCGUUCUCCGGCCAUGGCGCGACCUCCUCCGGCGAGGCCCUCAAACCCUAGAUUCUGUUCCCAGGGGAUUUAGGAGCUCAAAUUUCCGUGGUGCCAAGCCUAUAAAAGGACCCGGCUCCUUCACUUGUAACAAGGCCAUUUCAUUCCAAUCCAUCCAGCCUCAUAGCAAAGCUUGUGCUAUGUACUUUGUGUUUCCUCGACAUCGUCUGAUCCUCGAGAGCCAGCUAGACUGUAGUUGGGCUAACAUUGGCAUCAGAGCCUCAGGUUAUGCUGAAGCAUGCCGAAAGAAGGCGUUGCGGGCGACGGCUCCAAGACCGCCGAGCAGAGCUCGGCUGAGGAGGCCCGUGCGGCGGACUCGCUCGCGCCGCGAGGCAGGCCGGGAGGCGGGCUGGAAGCCACGCUCCGUGCGAGACGUGGGCAUGUCCAGUACCUCCUUCCCUCUCCUCACGCGGACCAACUACCCCACUUGGUCGCUCCUGAUGAAAGUCAUCAUGGAGCCCCGGCAUAUGUGGAAAGCCGUGGAAACCGGUGAUGUCGAGUACGAGGAGGACCGGUUGGCGAUGGAGGCGAUCUUGCGCUCCGUCCCACCGGAGAUGGUGCUCACCCUUGGCGCCAAGAAGACGGCCAAGGAAGCAUGGGACACCAUCAAGACCGCGCAUCGGCGUGGAGCGUGUACGGGAGUUGAAGGCCCAGACCUUGCGCCUCCAGUACGAGGAGAUUCGGUUCAAGGCCGGUGA
Molecule: ribosomal RNA, 1221 nt
Filed under: Triticum aestivum (bread wheat)
Lineage: Eukaryota; Viridiplantae; Streptophyta; Magnoliopsida; Poales; Poaceae
Description: partial small subunit ribosomal RNA
Source: RNAcentral